This 119-nucleotide ribosomal RNA is filed under the name Pteropus alecto (black flying fox). The record is from RNAcentral. Lineage: Eukaryota; Metazoa; Chordata; Mammalia; Chiroptera; Pteropodidae.
GUUUAUGGCCAUGCUACCUUGAACAAGCCUGAUCCCGUCUGAUCUCGGAAGCUAAGCAGAGUCAGGCCUGGUUAGUACUUGGAGGGGAGAUCAUCUAGGAAGACUAGGUGCUGCAGGCA